UUUUGAUCUGGGCUAGAUUGACGCUGGCGGCAGGCCUAACACAUGCAAGUCGAACGGUAACAGGAAGCAGCUUGCUGCUUUGCUGACGAGUGGCGGACGGGUGAGUAAUGUCUGGGAAACUGCCUGAUGGAGGGGGAUAACUACUGGAAACGGUGGCUAAUACCGCAUAACGUCGCAAGACCAAAGAGGGGGACCUUCGGGCCUCUUGCCAUCAGAUGUGCCCAGAUGGGAUUAGCUUGUUGGUGAGGUAACGGCUCACCAAGGCGACGAUCCCUAGCUGGUCUGAGAGGAUGACCAGCCACACUGGAACUGAGACACGGUCCAGACUCCUACGGGAGGCAGCAGUGGGGAAUAUUGCACAAUGGGCGCAAGCCUGAUGCAGCCAUGCCGCGUGUAUGAAGAAGGCCUUCGGGUUGUAAAGUACUUUCAGCGGGGAGGAAGGUGUUGUGGUUAAUAACCGCAGCAAUUGACGUUACCCGCAGAAGAAGCACCGGCUAACUCCGUGCCAGCCGCCGCGGUAAUUAA
Molecule: ribosomal RNA, 525 nt
Filed under: Salmonella sp. Sal1219
Lineage: Bacteria; Pseudomonadati; Pseudomonadota; Gammaproteobacteria; Enterobacterales; Enterobacteriaceae
Description: bacterial SSU rRNA
Rfam family: Bacterial small subunit ribosomal RNA
Source: RNAcentral